This 495-nucleotide ribosomal RNA is filed under the name uncultured bacterium. Its description in RNAcentral is "bacterial SSU rRNA". It matches the Rfam family "Bacterial small subunit ribosomal RNA", at positions 33 to 507 of the family's 1533-position model. The record is from RNAcentral.
AUAGACGCUAGCGGCAGGCUUAAUACAUGCAAGGUUGAGGGGCAGCAUGAUAUACGCGAGUAUAUUGAUGGCGACCGGCGGACGGGUGAGUAAUAGGUAGGAGACCUACCUCAUACAGGGGGAUAGCAUAGAGAAAUCUGUGGUAAUACCCCAUGAGGUUAUAUGAAUAGAGGCAUAUAAUCAAAGCAUAAGCGAUUAUGCGGUAUGAGAGGGGCCUACUGACCAUUAGCUAGUUGGUGAGGUAAGGGCUCACCAAGGCGAAGAUGGUUAGGGGUUUUGAGAGAGAGACCCCCCACAUUGGAACUGAGAGACGGUCCAGACUCCUACGGGAGGCAGCAGUAGGGAAUAUUGGGCAAUGGGCGAAAGCCUGACCCAGCCAUGCCGCGUGAAGGAAGACGGCCUUAUGGGUUGUAAACUUCUUUACUACGCGAAUAGAGGUUAGUACGAGAUACUAAUAGGAAGGUAGUGUAGUAAAAAGCACCGGCUAACUCCGUG